RNAcentral lists this ribosomal RNA (99 nucleotides) under uncultured bacterium. Its description in RNAcentral is "partial 16S ribosomal RNA". It matches the Rfam family "Bacterial small subunit ribosomal RNA", at positions 1384 to 1482 of the family's 1533-position model. The record is from RNAcentral.
UACACACCGCCCGUCAAGUCAUGAAAGUCGGCAACACCCGAAGCCAGUGGCCCAACCGCAAGGAGGGAGCUGUCGAAGGUGGGAUCGGUGAUUAGGACU